Molecule: ribosomal RNA, 225 nt
Filed under: uncultured Paludibacter sp.
Lineage: Bacteria; Pseudomonadati; Bacteroidota; Bacteroidia; Bacteroidales; Paludibacteraceae
Description: partial 16S ribosomal RNA
Rfam family: Bacterial small subunit ribosomal RNA
Source: RNAcentral
CGUGUAGGCGGUAUCAUAAGUCAGUGGUGAAAGUUUGCAGCUUAACUGUAAAAUUGCCAUUGAAACUGAUUUUCUUGAGUGUAAAUGAGGUAGGCGGAAUGUGUUGUGUAGCGGUGAAAUGCUUAGAUAUAACACAGAACACCAAUUGCGAAGGCAGCUUACUGGGAUACAACUGACGCUGAGGCACGAAAGCGUGGGGAUCAAACAGGAUUAGAUACCCGCGUA